GGGGAUAGCCAGCGCAUUUGUGUGAAAGAUGCUGUGUGUGCACUGCAGAGCAUGGUGCAGAGGCUUUUCUGUGACUUUAUUGGACGUUUGCAAUCCAAAUGCAGUACUGCCCUUCUUUGGAUUGAGUAAUGAUCUUUUAGAAGAAAAUAAAUCAAAUUAGAAUUAUUAUCAAAAAUAUCCCCAGAUGAAAAGAUUAAAUCAUUUUGGCUAACAGCUGUUAGGCUUAGGCCUAUACCAUUUUGAUCUUCAAAAAAAAUUCGACUAUUCCAACUGGCAUUCCUGGGAGCCUGAUAACUAUGAAGGAAAUGAACACUGCAUUGCCAUCAACAACCGUGGUAGUGGUGUUUGGAUAUCUCUGAUAUGAAACUUUCCUUCUUCCUGACCGACAAAUAAAUAAAUGCAUCAGCACAA
Molecule: long non-coding RNA, 411 nt
Organism: Alosa sapidissima (American shad)
Lineage: Eukaryota; Metazoa; Chordata; Actinopteri; Clupeiformes; Clupeidae
Exons: 3
Source: RefSeq, a predicted model, not a curated record